UACGAAGGGGGCUAGCGUUGUUCGGAAUUACUGGGCGUAAAGCGCACGUAGGCGGCUUAGCAAGUCGGAUGUGAAAUCCCUCGGCUCAACCAAGGAAGUGCAUCCGAAACUGCAGAGCUUGAGUACUUAAGAGGAUCGCGGAAUUCCCGGUGUAGAGGUGAAAUUCGUAGAUAUCGGGAGGAACACCAGUGGCGAAGGCGGCGAUCUGGGAAGAUACUGACGCUGAGGUGCGAAAGCGUGGGGAGCAAACAGG
RNAcentral lists this ribosomal RNA (253 nucleotides) under uncultured bacterium. Its description in RNAcentral is "partial 16S ribosomal RNA". It matches the Rfam family "Bacterial small subunit ribosomal RNA", at positions 524 to 776 of the family's 1533-position model. The record is from RNAcentral.